GCCACCGACGAGUUUCAACAUGGGGAAUCAAGUUCUCUGGGCUUGCAGAGAGGAGAUGGGCGGGUUGGGCUUUGUAUGGCGAUGUGAAAACCAGAUGGGUCUGGGAGAGACAGCGAAAGGAGCGAACCGUUUCAGGAGGAAUACGGGAGGAAGACAAUUAUUUGCAGAGGUGUCAGGGGAUUUGAUGCAGAUGAUCAUCAUGGCUUGGAGAAACAAUGAAGGAAGCAAAGUAUGCCAUCUAUGCUGCGGGAGGUAACUCCAGAAGACCCCAGAGAGAACGAGUUUGGACUUUUAACUGAGGGCCAUUGGAAACUACUGAAGAGUUUUAGGCAGCAUAAGAACUACUAGAUUUUCAUUGUGGGAGGAUCCUCAGCAGCAGCCUCAGAAAGGAGAUUGGGGAAGGAGAUCCCUAGUCAGGGAGACCAAGAAGACUACUGGAAAAAAACAGGGGAAUCCUCAAGGACCUGCAAACAAGAAACCAAAUCCCCCCACUCCCCCCAGCCAAAAUGUGUUCAUUUUGACCAGCUGUGUGUGUGUUUUAAAUUAAAAGUUUGAAUUAGAAA
Molecule: long non-coding RNA, 563 nt
Filed under: Homo sapiens (human)
Lineage: Eukaryota; Metazoa; Chordata; Mammalia; Primates; Hominidae
Description: PANK1 antisense RNA 1
Source: RNAcentral